This 417-nucleotide unclassified non-coding RNA is filed under the name Sterkiella histriomuscorum. RNAcentral describes it as "partial contains ITS1, 5.8S rRNA and ITS2". The stretch from base 85 to 236 matches the Rfam family "5.8S ribosomal RNA". Lineage: Eukaryota; Ciliophora; Spirotrichea; Sporadotrichida; Oxytrichidae. The record is from RNAcentral.
UGUAGGCGAAAGCUGGCUUGAACUGCUGCUGCAUCAAAAAACUUUAAUUCAAAGGAGCCUAACUAAGCUCAACCACUAAAACCAAAUUCUCAACGAUGGAUAUCUUGGUUCCCAUAACGAUGAAGAACGCAGCGAAGUGCGAUAAGCAAUGCGAAUUGCAGAACCGUGAGUCAUCAGAUCUUUGAACGCAACUGGCGCCUAUUGGAAUCCCGGUAGGCAUGCUUGUUUCAGUGUCUCUUUCUCUCAUCACCUAUAUCUUAAUGCUUGAGAUACCCUUCUCUUGCUAAACAUGAAAGCACUCUACACUCUGCGAGCAGCUUCACUUGUUGGAGCUUGCACUCAAUGCAGCAGUCACAUUGCUCACAAUGUGAACUCAUUGAGAGCGGAGGUAGCGCAGCCUAGCUGUAAGUGCUUAGA